This 27-nucleotide non-coding RNA is filed under the name Homo sapiens (human). The record is from RNAcentral. Lineage: Eukaryota; Metazoa; Chordata; Mammalia; Primates; Hominidae.
UUCUGGGAUUCUCGGGUUUGGUUCGGU